Molecule: long non-coding RNA, 1096 nt
Organism: Astatotilapia calliptera (eastern happy)
Lineage: Eukaryota; Metazoa; Chordata; Actinopteri; Cichliformes; Cichlidae
Source: Ensembl
AAAUUAUUUUACUGCUAUUGUUAAAUAAUUGUUAUUGCAUUAAUAAUAUAAUUUGCAGCAUGGAUAUUGCACUCCAAGGUUUAAACAGUGUCUCUUUCAGAAAGACUGAGUUGCAGGCUGACAGGAAGUUGUAUGCAGAAGUGAAACCAGGAAGUUAUUUUGAGCCGCAGGCUAAGACGAGGCUUUAACAAUAUAACAGAUAGCUUUAUCAUUUUAUAUUAAGGUUUUAGUAGAGGUUCUUGAUUAAAACAUUUAUUUAGUAGAAGACAUACACAUAGUCUCAGUGAGCUUCUGGUCUGGUAAAAGGUCAGAAGUGCAACAGGUGAAUUGAGAAAGAGCAUGUGAGGUCAACACACACACACACACACACUUUAAAUUAGAUUUAUUUAGAGGAAGAGGUUAGUUAUGUUUGGCUGUAACUACAAAAUUGUCUCGGUAAAAGAGGAACCGUUUCUUGUUGUCUCGGCAAGAAAGAGGAACAAUUCAUUUUAAGAUAAGAACGGAAAGUACCAAGCCAUGAAAAUAGGAGAUGAUUUUCUAGGGGAAAAGUCAUGAAGAUGUUAGUUAUGUUUGGCUGUAACUACAAAAUUGUCUCGGUAAAAGAGGAACCGUUUCUUGUUGUCUCGGCAAGAAAGAGGAACAAUUCAUUUUAAGAUAAGAACGGAAAGUACCAAGCCAUGAAAAUAGGAGAUGAUUUUCUAGGGGAAAAGUCAUGAAGAUGUUGAUCUGAUCUAUGUAUAAAAUGUGUCUGUGACGUAUGAAGGGGCGUCAGUAAACAAACCCUGAUGCUAUAAAAUAUCUGUUCAUGCUUUGAUUAAGUCGAAGACUACUGGCUGUCUGCGUACAGAGUUCUCUUCCCACGCGUGUAUUCAUUAAAAUCAUCGUUUGACUUCACCCGGCCGGAUCGGUGUGGUUAUUCUUCGAUCACCUCUUGUACCCUUCCUCAAUAAUGAAUCUUAACAUUAGCCAACCCAAUAUCACUAUCAGUCACCACUGAUGGAGAUUUUAGAGAAUCUAAACAUCCGGACAUCCGGUAAGAGGCUGUUUUCUUAGUGAAAAGUUUUUUCCCAUUACAGCCAUGGAAAAUUAGUUAGCC